GUACUGCACAGGAGUCCCACAAUAGGACGAAACGGCUGUCCAGUAC
Schistosoma mansoni is the source of this 46-nucleotide non-coding RNA. Lineage: Eukaryota; Metazoa; Platyhelminthes; Trematoda; Strigeidida; Schistosomatidae. The record is from Rfam.